GAGCCGCAGACGGAUGCUGUGUUAGGACCGCGGCGAUCUAGGCCUUUCCCCGCGAGACGGAGACGGAGGCGCGAGGGGACACUGUCAGCUACCCGCCUUCUGGCCUAAUGGCCCCUUCCGACGCGCGGACCCCCGCUCCCGGGGAUCGCUCCCUCCGGAGCCCGGUUGGGCUGGCCGGGGGCGGCAAUUUGGCCUGAUCUUCGUCUUAUUAAUUCGGAGCGACUGUGGGGAGGCCACUGAGAGAGGAGGCGGUCCCAGCGGAGGAGGCUUCGUGAUUCCUUGCUCCCUCCCGUCCUCCUGUCUCGCACCCACCUGCCCACCCACUACUCAGGACGCCGCUCUUUCGCGGGUUUUAUGCUGGAUGGAGGGGGCGCCGCCGAGGAAGCCAAGCCUCCCCCGCUAACUCUGCCUCUCCAGGUCUUCAGGUCGACAAGGCCUCUCUAUCCGCUGUGUUUUUAGUGCCAGUGACCUCUCAGAAAUUAUACCUGUCCGCUCUUGAUGGUAGCCGAAGGUCGGCGCGUGAUGCGAAGGGCCAGUGGAAGAUAUUUUUUAUGGCACUAAGACUCAGGACAGGAGAUGGAGAUUUCUUUGCCACUUUUAGUUGUUGGGUCUAGGGAAGGGGUGAGUUACGCCUCUCCAGUCAGCCUGCGCCAACUGGACCAGCUUCUGGGGACUGGAGACGAAGAGAGAACCAGCAUUCACCUGGCCCCCAGGCCCGCGACCCACAGAGCUCCAACCCGCCCACCCCCAGCCCCCCAGGCUUCUACCCUCCUAGGUCUUCUGUUGCCUGCUGAUCCGGUGAGCCCUGGCCAGGGGCGGCAGUAACGCCCCACAGGGCCCCUCACUAAAGGAGCGAUGGGGUGGGUCUGCAUGUGACAAGGAGACAAGGAAGCAGAGGACCUAAGAAAGGACACCACCCCAGAUCAGACUGAUGCUAACAGAAGCCAGCUUUAAAAUUGCCCUGCUCUUUUGAUCCAAACAUAAAUGUAUAAAGCUAGCUGUUAUUGGUUGAAAGUAUGCCUGUGUGCCUUGUUUGCAUGGCAAAAGAAAUUCCGUUUUGUGUUCACAGCUGAAGCUUCCUUGGAAUAGUUGACUUAUUCACAGCUUUUACAUUUUGGGAACCAUGACAUUAGAACUGAAUACUAGGAACGGUAAUCUUUUUGCCUUUCCACAAUUGAAAAUACAUUCGGAGCUUAUUUCAGAUAAAGCAGAACAGUUUCUAAGCCUAUUGCACUCAUGCUUUAAAGUCAUGACUCCCGUUAUAGGAAGGAGGUCAAGAACCAUGUUCCAAUGACUACCUUUUAAAUUAGCUGUAUUUAAUUAAAAGACUAAAUUUAAAUUUUUGUUUAGUAGUUGAUUACAAUGUUGGCGUUUAAAAAGUGGAGGAUUAUACUUUUUCUCUCAUUUUUGUCUUUAAUAUGCAUUCAGAAUGAGUGCAUAUUGAACAGUAGUUGUUAAGGUCUUAAAUUAACUUGAUGUGAGACAAGUGAGAAAUAUAAUACUGUCUUGGAAAACAGUUCCUAAAUCUAAUUUUUUUUCAGGCUUCAUGCAUAAAAAUCUAGCAGAUAAAGAAUAACAUAUUGUUAGACUGUAAAACAUUGCUGCAAUAUGAGAUGAAUAGGUAACCCAAGGAGCAAAAUAUUUUAAAUAUGAUAUCACUUAUAUGUGGACUCUAAAAAAACCCCAAACUCAUAGAUAUAGAGGACAGAUUGGUCAGUUGCCAGAGGAAGGGGUGAGUGGGAGUGGUCAAAAUGGGUGAAGGUGUUCAAAAGGUACAGACUUUCAGCUAUAAGGUAAAUAAGUACUGGGGAUGUAACAUACAGCAUGGUGACUAAAGUUGAAAACAACGUAUUGUAUAUUUGAAAGUUGCUUAGAGGGUAGAUCUUGAAAGUUAACACACAUGCACACAGAAUUUGUAACUAUAUGAGGUGAUAGAUGUUAACUUGUAUUGUAAUCAUUUCACCAUCUAUACGUAUAUCAAACCUUCAUGCUGUAUACCUGAAACAAAUAAAAUGUUAUGUCAAUUAUAUCUC
This is a long non-coding RNA of Balaenoptera musculus (blue whale), 2033 nucleotides long. The record is from Ensembl. NCBI's taxonomy places the organism in Eukaryota, Metazoa, Chordata, Mammalia, Artiodactyla, Balaenopteridae.